Molecule: unclassified non-coding RNA, 323 nt
Filed under: Hevea brasiliensis (rubber tree)
Lineage: Eukaryota; Viridiplantae; Streptophyta; Magnoliopsida; Malpighiales; Euphorbiaceae
Source: RNAcentral
GCGGAUGGAAAAGUCAGGGUCGCGGAGGCGACGCACGACGUAGGAAAGGAUUCUGGUGAGGAAAGAAGAUAGAGAGUUGGAAUGGAGAACGGCGAGGGUGGAGAGGAGGUGAAGACACUGCUUGCGGACCAGACGCUUGUCGGUGGAGUCGAUGGAAAGUAAACAUGAGAUGAAGGUAGGAAGGCUCGUAUUAUCCAGUGUCCCGGCAAUGGACUCUAGCUCGGUGGCUGCAAGGUUGUAGGUGUCCCGGUCUGAUAGUUUGGUGAUCAACGUUAGCACUUUCAGCUUGAGGUUUUGGGCCAUCUUUCUCCCUUUUGUUUGAG